AGAAUUUUCAUGGCCAAAUUUCCACUGGAUGAGGAAAGAUGUAAACAGUGGGUUAAGAUGACCGGUAAGGAGGAUCUGGUUUAUGUGCCUAUUGAAAAGCUACAUCAACUUAAACGAAUUUGUGGCAAUCAUUUUCUGCUACAACAUUUUAAGAACACAAUU
This is a non-coding RNA of Plutella xylostella (diamondback moth), 162 nucleotides long. Lineage: Eukaryota; Metazoa; Arthropoda; Insecta; Lepidoptera; Plutellidae. The record is from RefSeq and is a predicted model, not a curated record.